Molecule: small nuclear RNA, 129 nt
Filed under: Zalophus californianus (California sea lion)
Lineage: Eukaryota; Metazoa; Chordata; Mammalia; Carnivora; Otariidae
Description: U2 spliceosomal RNA (ENSZCAG00015021291.1)
Rfam family: U2 spliceosomal RNA
About the family: U2 is a small nuclear RNA (snRNA) component of the spliceosome (involved in pre-mRNA splicing). Complementary binding between U2 snRNA (in an area lying towards the 5' end but 3' to hairpin I) and the branchpoint sequence (BPS) of the intron results the bulging out of an unpaired adenosine, on the BPS, which initiates a nucleophilic attack at the intronic 5' splice site, thus starting the first of two transesterification reactions that mediate splicing.
Source: RNAcentral
AUCACUUCUCAGCCUUUUGGCUAAGAUCAAGUGUAGUAUCUGUUCUUAUCAGUUUAAAAAUAAUUUUAUGGCUUAUCCACACAGCUUAAUGUUAGUACUAGUUAUUAAGAGUACAAUGGAACACCAUUC